RNAcentral lists this non-coding RNA (567 nucleotides) under Trichobilharzia regenti. Its description in RNAcentral is "Eukaryotic small subunit ribosomal RNA". It matches the Rfam family "Eukaryotic small subunit ribosomal RNA", at positions 31 to 597 of the family's 1831-position model. The record is from Rfam by way of RNAcentral. Lineage: Eukaryota; Metazoa; Platyhelminthes; Trematoda; Strigeidida; Schistosomatidae.
CUUGUUCCAGAGAUUAAGCGAUGUAUGUCUAAGUACAUACCUUAAAACGCUGAAAGCGAGAAUGGCUCAUUAAAUCAGCUAUGGUUCCCUAGAUCAUAUACACUACAUGGAUAACUGUGGUAAUUCUAGAGCACCCGCAAGGAAACGGGUGCAUUUAUUAGAACAGAACCGACCGGGGGCAGUUCCGGCUGUCUCUGUUGAAUUCAGUGAUGACUAUGGAUAGCUCUAAUGAUCACAAUCGGUCUUGUGUCGGCGACGGAUCUUUCAAAUAUGUCUGCCCUAUCAAUUUGUUGGUAGGUGAUCAGCCUACCAUGAUAAUAACGGGUUAAUGGGGAAUCAGGGCUUAAUUUUGGAGAGGGAACCUGAGAAAUGGUGACCACAUCCUAGGUCGGCAGCGGACGAGGAAAUUACCUACCCCCAUCAUGGGGAAGUAGUGAUGAAAAAUACGAAUAAGGGACUCAAUUAAGGCUCCGUAAUCCUAAUGAGUACAAUUUAAGUCCUUGAACAAGGACCAAUUGGAUUGUAAAUCUGGUGCCAGUAGCCGCGUUAGCUCUCAAGCUCCAAAAG